UCAGUAACACGUAGUCAACCUGCCCUGGAGACGCGGACAAACCCGGGAAACUGGGGCCUAUCCGCGAUAGAUGACCUCAUCUGGAAGGAGAGGCCGUCGAAAAGGGCGCACGGGUAUGCUCUGUGCGAACCGCUCCAGGAUGGGACUGCGGCCGAUCAGGCUGUUGGCGGGGUAAUGGCCCACCAAACCUGUAACCAGGUACGGGCUUUGAGAGAAGGAGCCCGGAGAUGGACACUGAGACAAGGGUCCAGGCCCUACCGGGGCGCGUCAGGCAGACGAAAACUUCGCAAUGCGCGAAUAGCGUGACGAGGCUAGUCCGAGUGCUUCCUGCUAAAGGGAGCUUUUUCUCGGACUGUAAAUAGCCCGGGGAAUAAGGGGAGGGCAAGUCUGGU
Molecule: ribosomal RNA, 392 nt
Filed under: unidentified archaeon
Lineage: Archaea
Description: bacterial SSU rRNA
Rfam family: Archaeal small subunit ribosomal RNA
Source: RNAcentral